This 433-nucleotide ribosomal RNA is filed under the name uncultured bacterium. RNAcentral's name for it is "partial 16S ribosomal RNA". It matches the Rfam family "Bacterial small subunit ribosomal RNA", at positions 29 to 507 of the family's 1533-position model. The record is from RNAcentral.
AACGAACGCUGGCGGCAGGCCUAACACAUGCAAGUCGAGCGGACCCUUCGGGGUUAGCGGCGGACGGGUGAGUAACGCGUGGGAAUAUGCCCUUCUCUACGGAAUAGUCCUGGGAAACUGGGGGUAAUACCGUAUACGCCCUUUGGGGGAAAGAUUUAUCGGGGGAGGAUUAGCCCGCGUUGGAUUAGGUAGUUGGUGGGGUAAUGGCCUACCAAGCCGACGAUCCAUAGCUGGUUUGAGAGGAUGAUCAGCCACACUGGGACUGAGACACGGCCCAGACUCCUACGGGAGGCAGCAGUGGGGAAUCUUAGACAAUGGGGGCAACCCUGAUCGAGCCAUGCCGCGUGAGUGAUGAAGGCCUUAGGGUUGUAAAGCUCUUUCAGCUGGGAAGAUAAUGACGGUACCAGCAGAAGAAGCCCCGGCUAACUCCGUG